GGGUCAGUAGGUUGGUCGUGCCACCGGUACGUACUGGUCUCACUGAUUCCUCCUUCCUGAAGAACCGUAACGCCAUUAAUUUGGUGUUGCGGGGAAACAGGACUGUUACUUUGAAAAAAUUAGAGUGUUUAAAGCAAGCUAACGCUUGUAUACAUUAGCAUGGAAUAAUGAAAUAGGACGAUCGAUCCUAUUUUGUUGGUUUCUAGGAUUGACGUA
Molecule: ribosomal RNA, 216 nt
Filed under: Glomeromycotina sp.
Lineage: Eukaryota; Fungi; Glomeromycota
Description: partial small subunit ribosomal RNA
Rfam family: Eukaryotic small subunit ribosomal RNA (bases 75-216)
Source: RNAcentral